GGACCCUGAGCUUCUAUCAAUUCAAAGGCCCAAAAGAAAAGGCUGGGGCCCUCCUACUCCCAGUUACCCAGCCCUAAAGACCAGCCAGGUUCUUGUGCAAUUGGGAAUCUUUUACACAAGAAUGAGCCUACAUGGCGGGAAAAGCAAACAGUUGGCACAACAUAACUGCACAGACCCAAUGGGCACCAUGCCUGAUACUCUUCUGAGAAUGUCCAAUUCCUGACUGCCAGAGGCUGUUGACAAGCCUGGAACUGGGCCAAGAAAUUGAAAGUUACAGCCCCAAAGGCAGGAGCACAGGACACGGACAGGACAGGACCUGGAAGGGACACGUGGCCCAGGUCCCUGCAUUGAUAUGGGAGUGCUGUGGAGAGACAGGACGUGGAGGGGACAUGUGGCCCAGGUCCCCCCAUGGACACGGGAAUGCCAUGGAGGGACGGGAUGUGGAGGAGACGUGUGGCCCAGGUCCCCCUGUGGACAUGGGAAUGCUGUGGAAGGACGGGAUGUGGAGAGGACAUGUGGCCCAGGUCCCGCCAUGGACACGGGAAUGUCGUGGAGGGAUGGGACGUGGAGGGGACGCAUGGCCCAGGUCCCCCUGUAGACAUAGGAAUGCUGUGGAGGGAUGGGAUGUGGAGGGGAUGUGUGGCCCACUUCCCCCCCCCCUCCCCGUGGACAUGGGGACACUGUAGAAAGACAGAACACUGAGGGGACAUGUGGCCCAGGUCACCUCAAGGACAUGGGGACCCUGUGGAGACGGGACACUGAUAUUGUCUGUCCCUAUGUGUCUAUCUCACUGUCCUGUCUCUCCUGCUUCCAUGGCCACCAGCCUCUGUGGGCUGACACUGAGGGAGGGACACUGAGCAUGGCUCCUGUGGGUCUGUGGGCCUGUGCUCUGGUCUGGCCGCACGCUGUUGGUGGGCUGUGGCACUAGGCUGGUGCCCUGCCUGCAGUCUGUUGUGACUGUGACGGAGUCAUGUGUUUCAAGGCCAUUUUCAGGUGGGAGGCUGUGGAAGUUGGGGAAGUGCGUGGAAAAGAGGUUCAGGCUGGGCCGUCUGGCGGAGUUGUACCCCGGAGGGGCUUCUCUCCGUCCCACAGCCAAGGUGGGUGCGUGGGCCCUGCAGCUUCAGAGAGUUUUCCUUGCACGAGUUCCUGUGGGACUGCAGGCCGCCUGCGCCCCGCCUCCUACCCCUGGCCCAAGCACAUUCUCCGCCCUGGAUGAAGGAACUUCCAACAGCAGAGCAGCAUGGGACGCCCCUGCACCCACCACUGCCCUCACACAGCCAGAGGAAAACAGCUGAACAUAGACACUAGCGGGAGGGACAUGCCGGGAGACAGACAGAGACAGGGAGAGGAAGAGAUAGGGAGAGGAAAGGAGAGAGACGGAGAAAGAUGGAGGGAGACAGAGAGAGAGAGAUUGAGAGACAGAGGGGAAGAUAGAGACAGAGGGGGGAAGCAGAGAGACAGAGACAGAGGGAGACAGAGAGUGGCAGAGAGGUAAGACAGAGAGACAGAAACAGAGAGACAGACUGAAA
RNAcentral lists this long non-coding RNA (1529 nucleotides) under Homo sapiens (human). Its description in RNAcentral is "HSALNT0023254". The record is from RNAcentral. Lineage: Eukaryota; Metazoa; Chordata; Mammalia; Primates; Hominidae.